UACAGAGGUCCCAAGCGUUGUUCGGAUUCACUGGGCGUAAAGGGUGCGUAGGUGGCCAGGUAAGUUCGGUGUGAAAGCUCGGAGCUUAACUCCGAAAUGGCAUUGAAUACUAUCUGGCUAGAGGGUCGGAGGGGAGACUGGAAUUCUCGGUGUAGCAGUGAAAUGCGUAGAUAUCGAGAGGAACACCAGUGGCGAAGGCGAGUCUCUGGACGACACCUGACAGC
RNAcentral lists this ribosomal RNA (224 nucleotides) under uncultured bacterium. RNAcentral describes it as "partial 16S ribosomal RNA". It matches the Rfam family "Bacterial small subunit ribosomal RNA", at positions 524 to 747 of the family's 1533-position model. The record is from RNAcentral.